GUAGGGAAUCUUCCGCAAUGGACGAAAGUCUGACGGAGCAACGCCGCGUGAGUGAUGAAGGCUUUCGGGUCGUAAAACUCUGUUGUUAGGGAAGAACAAGUGCUAGUUGAAUAAGCUGGCACCUUGACGGUACCUAACCAGAAAGCCACGGCUAACUACGUGCCAGCAGCCGCGGUAAUACGUAGGUGGCAAGCGUUAUCCGGAAUUAUUGGGCGUAAAGCGCGCGCAGGUGGUUUCUUAAGUCUGAUGUGAAAGCCCACGGCUCAACCGUGGAGGGUCAUUGGAAACUGGGAGACUUGAGUGCAGAAGAGGAAAGUGGAAUUCCAUGUGUAGCGGUGAAAUGCGUAGAGAUAUGGAGGAACACCAGUGGCGAAGGCGACUUUCUGGUCUGUAACUGACACUGAGGCGCGAAAGCGUGGGGAGCAAACAGGAUUAGAUACCCGAGUAGUCC
This 451-nucleotide ribosomal RNA is filed under the name uncultured bacterium. RNAcentral describes it as "bacterial SSU rRNA". It matches the Rfam family "Bacterial small subunit ribosomal RNA", at positions 354 to 796 of the family's 1533-position model. The record is from RNAcentral.